RNAcentral lists this ribosomal RNA (504 nucleotides) under uncultured bacterium. RNAcentral's name for it is "partial 16S ribosomal RNA". It matches the Rfam family "Bacterial small subunit ribosomal RNA", at positions 28 to 523 of the family's 1533-position model. The record is from RNAcentral.
GAUGAACGCUAGCUACAGGCUUAACACAUGCAAGUCGAGGGGCAGCAUGACGAUAGCUUGCUAUUGUUGAUGGCGACCGGCGCACGGGUGAGUAACGCGUAUCCAACCUGCCCUUGUCCAUCGGAUAACCCGUCGAAAGGCGGCCUAACACGAUAUGCAGUUCUCCGCAGGCAUCUAACGAGAACGAAAUGUAAAGGAGAAGGAUGGGGAUGCGUCUGAUUAGCUGUUUGGCGGGGUAACGGACCACCAAGGCGACGAUCAGUAGGGGUUCUGAGAGGAAGGUCCCCCACAUUGGAACUGAGACACGGUCCAAACUCCUACGGGCGGCAGCAGUGAGGAAUACUGGUAAAUGGGCGAGAGCCUGAACCAGCCAAGUAGCGUGCAGGACGACGGCCCUAUGGGUUGUAAACUGCUUUUAUGCGGGGAUAAAGUGAGCCACGUGUGGCUUAUUGCAGGUACCGCAUGAAUAAGGACCGGCUAAUUCCGUGCCAGCCGCCGCCGUAA